This 468-nucleotide ribosomal RNA is filed under the name uncultured bacterium. Its description in RNAcentral is "partial 16S ribosomal RNA". It matches the Rfam family "Bacterial small subunit ribosomal RNA", at positions 28 to 507 of the family's 1533-position model. The record is from RNAcentral.
GACGAACGCUGGCGGCGUGCUUAACACAUGCAAGUCGAACGGAAAGGCCCUGCUUUUGUGGGGUGCUCGAGUGGCGAACGGGUGAGUAACACGUGAGUAACCUGCCCUUGACUUUGGGAUAACUUCAGGAAACUGGGGCUAAUACCGGAUAGGAGCUCCUGCUGCAUGGUGGGGGUUGGAAAGUUUCGGCGGUUGGGGAUGGACUCGCGGCUUAUCAGCUUGUUGGUGGGGUAGUGGCUUACCAAGGCUUUGACGGGUAGCCGGCCUGAGAGGGUGACCGGCCACAUUGGGACUGAGAUAAGGCCCAGACUCCUACGGGAGGCAGCAGGGGGGAAUAUUGCACAAUGGGCGGAAGCCUGAUGCAGCAACGCCGCGUGCGGGAUGACGGCCUUCGGGUUGUAAACCGCUUUCGCCUGUGACGAAGCGUGAGUGGCGGUAAUGGGUAAAGAAGCACCGGCUAACUACGUG